UCUAACAAGGACAGUGCUUGGAUGAGAACUCUGGUGGACUGAAAUAUUAAAUGAUGAUCAUUCCUAGCACUGGUAGAAACUGGCAAUUUUUUGUUGGAUAGUUACACUCAUGCUUCACAGCUCAGGGAUUCCAUGAGCUACUGAUGCCAGCUGGGCUUUGGAAUUAUUGUUAGGAUCUCACUCUCUUCUCUAGCAGAUGCAAGGCACAGCCACCAGACCUGCAGAAGGGCAUCUGAAAAGAUCAUUGGGUGAGACUGAAAUGCAUAUACCUACAUUCGUAGCAGAUACUUUGGUUUUGUGCAAGAAGCCUCAAGUAUAUGAUCUGAUUUUUUUUUUUGUUCCAUCUCCUUCAUUAUUUUGUCC
Passer montanus (Eurasian tree sparrow) is the source of this 363-nucleotide long non-coding RNA. RefSeq lists it as uncharacterized. The transcript has 3 exons. The record is from RefSeq and is a predicted model, not a curated record. NCBI's taxonomy places the organism in Eukaryota, Metazoa, Chordata, Aves, Passeriformes, Passeridae.